This 551-nucleotide ribosomal RNA is filed under the name uncultured bacterium. RNAcentral's name for it is "partial 16S ribosomal RNA". It matches the Rfam family "Bacterial small subunit ribosomal RNA", at positions 355 to 895 of the family's 1533-position model. The record is from RNAcentral.
UGGGGAAUAUUGGACAAUGGGCGCAAGCCUGAUCCAGCAAUGCCGCGUGUGUGAAGAAGGCCUUCGGGUUGUAAAGCACUUUUAUCAGGAGCGAAACGCUGUCGGCUAAUACCCGGCGGAACUGACGGUACCUGAGGAAUAAGCACCGGCUAACUUCGUGCCAGCAGCCGCGGUAAUACGAAGGGUGCAAGCGUUAAUCGGAAUUACUGGGCGUAAAGCGUGCGUAGGCGGUUUCUUAAGUCUGCUGUGAAAUCCCCGGGCUCAACCUGGGAAUGGCAGUGGAUACUGGGAGGCUAGAGUGUGUCAGAGGGUGGUGGAAUUCCCGGUGUAGCGGUGAAAUGCGUAGAGAUCGGGAGGAACAUCAGUGGCGAAGGCGGCCACCUGGGACAACACUGACGCUGAGGCACGAAAAGCGUGGGGAGCAAACAGGAUUAGAUACCCUGGUAGUCCACGCCCUAAAGCGAUGCGAACUGGAUGUUGGUCUCAACUCGGAGAUCAGUGUCGAAGCUAACGCGUUAAGUUCGCCGCCUGGGGAGUACGGUCGCAAGACU